ACAAGUCUUGGCAAAAGUGCCCCGGGCCGGGAGCGGGUGUCCCGCGUCGCCUCAAUUCGCCCGCUACCACACACGCCUCCGGCCCUCCGCCCUGAAUUGCUUUCGGUUUCUGAGGAGCCGGGACGGUCAGCUCACCCGGACUUCGCCACUUGCGGGGUUCGCAGAGCUCCGCUGGCGCCCUACGGUGGCGGGCCCUAGGCUGCUUCGUCUCUGCAGAAGGUUCACAGUAAUUGCAGCCUGUAUGAACGAAGUGAACUAGCAUCUCAAAUCUAACCUCUUCCAAGUCAGACAAACGCGGGAACUUAGCUGUCUUGAGCUUCAAAUGUCCAUCACGGAGAGAAGAGAGUACCAGGGUCCUUGCAGUGGACGCUACAGUGGAAAGUCUGCUCAUCAGGUGGAACUUGUAAAGGAUGGUACGGCAAGUAGCAAUGCCCAGUAGAAAGCAAACCUCUGAUGGUGGUGUGCAUAGAAGACUUGUUGGCUUACCAAGUGUGUUGCACCAGCACCUUGUUUGUAAAGAAAAUUGCAACACAUCCCUCAGAUACAGCACUUAAGCCACAGAUACUGAACAUCUGAACAGAUGCUGGUGCUGAACAACUUGACUGACAUCUCCCACAGACUGUACUGAAGGUCUACUGAUGAGAGACAAGACAAUGAAAGCUGUCACAGUAUAAUAUGCACGUACACAAGACAAGUGCUUUCAAAAAUGCUAUAGACAGUUUAAGAUACAUAACCGUCUUCCAUGGCUUUUAAAGUAAAAAUAAGUAUAAAUUCUUUAAUAUUAUUUUUAGAUCAGUUACAUUUUAUACGGGGCAUAAACUAUUAAGGUGAUCUGAUGAGAAAAAAAAAAGGGGCCUUUUCUGCAAGCCAAUUUCAAUUACAUCAGAAUAGAGGGUCCUUUUGAAGGAAAAGCUGAAAAUUAAAAUUGACCUAUGGGCUGGAAAGCCCAUAAAGGGACUAUUUUUCCAGUACUUAAGGAAACAUGACCCCUUUGAUGUGGGCAGCCUGGGCCCUAGCAACUGUCCCUCUACAGCAAGCCAUGCUUCCUAUAUGAAGUCAUUCUAUCAAAGCUGUCAGUAAAACGCUGUUGAAACUCCGCUAUUGUAAAAUAUUCUUUGUGGGUGCUAAUGAUUUUGCAUUGGAAUAAAAAGGCCUUAAGUCUCUGUUUUCUUC
This 1173-nucleotide long non-coding RNA is filed under the name Mus pahari (shrew mouse). RNAcentral describes it as "lncRNA (MGP_PahariEiJ_G0003723.1)". Lineage: Eukaryota; Metazoa; Chordata; Mammalia; Rodentia; Muridae. The record is from RNAcentral.